This 405-nucleotide ribosomal RNA is filed under the name uncultured Methylomirabilota bacterium. RNAcentral describes it as "bacterial SSU rRNA". It matches the Rfam family "Bacterial small subunit ribosomal RNA", at positions 1026 to 1430 of the family's 1533-position model. The record is from RNAcentral. Lineage: Bacteria; Methylomirabilota (SeqCode).
GCGUGGAGACAGGUGGUGCAUGGCUGUCGUCAGCUCGUGUCGUGAGAUGUUGGGUUAAGUCCCGCAACGAGCGCAACCCUUACCCCUAGUUGCCACCGGGUAAAGCCGAGCACUCGAGGGGAACUGCCAGCGUCAAGCUGGAGGAAGGCGGGGAUGACGUCAAGUCAUCAUGCCCCUUACGCCCUGGGCUACACACGUGCUACAAUGGCCGGUACAAAGGGACGCGAGACUGCAAAGUGGAGCUAAUCCCAAAAAACCGGUCUAAGUUCAGAUUGCAGUCUGCAACUCGACUGCAUGAAGGAGGAAUCGCUAGUAAUCGCGCAUCAGCACGGCGCGGUGAAUACGUUCCCGGGCCUUGUACACACCGCCCGUCACACCACGAAAGCUGUCUGUACUCGAAGUCGC